CUGACAUUUUAAGUUGAGGGAGUGAAGUGAACCUUUCUCCGUUUUCGCUUCUUAAAGCCUAGGAUUUGGUUUUCAUAUGCAAAAAGAAUAAAAGAGAAUGGUGCUGUGCUACCCAUCAACACCGAAGAAAUUGGCAAUGACGAUAGGAUGUUUCGUCGGUGGAGCUGCACUUUUCGGUUAUGGUUUACGUCUCUAUUAUAUCAAUAUAGAACCUCAACAAGCUCGAAUUAAAGCUCGCAAUGAAUUUGUUCGAGAACGCUUGAGAAGGAAACAUGGCGCCGAAUAAUUCAACGCCUAUCAUCGGCUUUUUUGGGCUCUCCAUAUUAGAGUUCAUAUUCUCUAUAUUUCCUCACUUUGGUACUAUCAUAAGAGCUUUUGCUAUUUGAACUUCUUUUACUUUCAUCUUCUUUGUUAGUAUCUUAUUUCGAUUCUAAGAAAGAAUUCCUCAACAUAGUUCAGAGCAUCAGGAAAUUUAGAGCAUUGGGAAUUUUUGUACGCAUGUCACCGAGCUCAUAUACCAUUUUAGCUACAACUUAUUGUCUAUUGGUAUAGUUGCUCUACUUGAUUGAUAGCCAAAAUUAAUAAAAAUUAGAGAUUCUCAA
This is a long non-coding RNA of Mercurialis annua (annual mercury), 602 nucleotides long. RefSeq lists it as uncharacterized. The transcript has 2 exons. NCBI's taxonomy places the organism in Eukaryota, Viridiplantae, Streptophyta, Magnoliopsida, Malpighiales, Euphorbiaceae. The record is from RefSeq and is a predicted model, not a curated record.